GACGAACGCUGGCGGCGUGCUUAACACAUGCAAGUCGAACGGACAGGCGCUGCUUUUGUUCGUUUCUCGAUUGGCGCACGGGUGUGUGAAACGUGUGUAUCCUCCCCUUGACUUUGUGAUAACUUCAGGAAACUGGGGCUCAUACCGCAUAGGAGCUCCUGCUGCAUGGUGUGGGUUGGAAAGUUUCGGCGGUUGGGGAUGGACUAGCGGCUUAUCCGCUUGUUGGUCGGGUAGUGGCUUACCAAGCGUUUGACGGGUAGCCGGCAUGAGAGGGUGAACGGGGACAUUGGGACUGAGAGACGGACCAGACUGGUACGGGAGGCAGCAGUGGGGAAUAUUGCGCAAUGGGCGGAAGCCUGAUGCAGAAGCGCCGGGUGCGGGAUGACGGCCUUCGGGUGGUAAACAGCUUUGGACGGAGACGAAGCGUGAGUGACGGUAAUGGGUAAAGAAGCACCGGCUAACUACGUG
This 468-nucleotide ribosomal RNA is filed under the name uncultured bacterium. RNAcentral describes it as "partial 16S ribosomal RNA". It matches the Rfam family "Bacterial small subunit ribosomal RNA", at positions 28 to 507 of the family's 1533-position model. The record is from RNAcentral.